Molecule: ribosomal RNA, 254 nt
Filed under: uncultured bacterium
Lineage: Bacteria
Description: partial 16S ribosomal RNA
Rfam family: Bacterial small subunit ribosomal RNA
Source: RNAcentral
UACGUAGGGGGCAAGCGUUGUCCGGAUUUAUUGGGCGUAAAGAGCUCGUAGGUGGUUCGGUAAGUCGGAUGUGAAAUCUCCAGGCUCAACCUGGAGGGGUCAUUCGAUACUGCCGUGACUAGAGGUCGGUAGGGGAGUGUGGAAUUCCUGGUGGAGCGGUGAAAUGCGCAGAUAUCAGGAGGAACACCGGUGGCGAAGGCGGGUCUCUGGGCAGUAACUGACGCGAGGAGCGAAAGCGUUGGGGAGCGAACAGG